GGUAGUCCACGCCGUAAACGAUGUCGACUUGGAGGUUGUUCCCUUGAGGAGUGGCUUCCGGAGCUAACGCGUUAAGUCGACCGCCUGGGGAGUACGGCCGCAAGGUUAAAACUCAAAUGAAUUGACGGAGGCCCGCACAAGCGGUGGAGCAUGUGGUUUAAUUCGAUGCAACGCGAAGAACCUUACCUACUCUUGACAUCCAGAGAACUUAGCAGAGAUGCUUUGGUGCCUUCGGGAACUCUGAGACAGGUGCUGCAUGGCUGUCGUCAGCUCGUGUUGUGAAAUGUUGGGUUAAGUCCCGCAACGAGCGCAACCCUUAUCCUUUGUUGCCAGCGGUCCGGCCGGGAACUCAAAGGAGACUGCCAGUGAUAAACUGGAGGAAGGUGGGGAUGACGUCAAGUCAUCAUGGCCCUUACGACCAGGGCUACACACGUGCUACAAUGGCGCAUACAAAGAGAAGCAAUCUCGCGAGAGCUAGCGGACCUCAUAAAGUGCGUCGUAGUCCGGAUUGGAGUCUGCAACUCGACUCCAUGAAGUCGGAAUCGCUAGUAAUCGUGAAUCAGAAUGUCACGGUGAAUACGUUCCCGGGCCUUGUACACACCGCCCGUCACACCAUGGGAGCUGGCCAUGCCCGAAGUCGUUACCUUAACCGUAAGGAGGGGGAUGCCGAAGGCAGGGCUAGUGACUGGAGUGAAGUCGUAACAAGGUAACC
RNAcentral lists this ribosomal RNA (712 nucleotides) under uncultured bacterium. RNAcentral's name for it is "bacterial SSU rRNA". It matches the Rfam family "Bacterial small subunit ribosomal RNA", at positions 789 to 1501 of the family's 1533-position model. The record is from RNAcentral.